GUUUGGGCAAGUUCCUGAGUAAGGCUGUUUUGGUAGUGAUAUACGUUCUCAUUAUGACUACCAGGAAACAUCUGUCUCUCCACCUUGUUUCUGAUCAACCAUCUGCUCUUUGUUCAUUUGUCAACUCUCCAGCUGAAACAGCAUCCUUAAAAUGACGGGAGUGAUGGCUGGAGUGACGCCUGGAGUACUGGAACCUUUCUCCUCCGGAAGCUGCUGGUUCAGAGCGAAUGGCGGGAA
Long non-coding RNA from Poeciliopsis prolifica (blackstripe livebearer), 237 nucleotides. RefSeq lists it as uncharacterized. The record is from RefSeq and is a predicted model, not a curated record. Lineage: Eukaryota; Metazoa; Chordata; Actinopteri; Cyprinodontiformes; Poeciliidae. The transcript has 3 exons.